This is a small nucleolar RNA of Acomys russatus (golden spiny mouse), 144 nucleotides long. RefSeq annotates it as small nucleolar RNA SNORA48. Lineage: Eukaryota; Metazoa; Chordata; Mammalia; Rodentia; Muridae. The transcript has a single exon. The record is from RefSeq and is a predicted model, not a curated record.
UACCUCUGCCAAUAGUCAAAGGAACAUCUUGUUGGUGUUGUUGUUCUUAUAUCAGUCAGGGACAGAACAGAUGGCAAUACUUUAUUCAUCCUAGCUUGAUGCCUGGCUUGGUUGACAAAGCUGUUUUAUACCUAGCACACAUAA